AAAAGUAUUAUAUAUGUAUAUAACAUAAAUUGAUUUUGGGGGAUUGUGGUUGAUUAUUAUGAUAUUAAUCGAUCAGUUGUGAUUGCAGGAAGCAGCAUUGUAUGUGUUGAAUACAAGGAGCAUUGAAGAAGCCAUGAGGAUUUUCACCAAGGAUUUGCAGCCAGUUGUAACUGUUGCAGAACAGAAUGAGAAAGCAACCAUUGAUUUCAAUGAACACAGUGAAGGAACCACCGUGGAUUUCAAUGAAGAGUUUAACUGUUUUGCUAAUGAAUUACAAAUUCCAUUGCCAAGAGAUAUUGCCUCUUCACCUUUUUGAUAAUGAUUUAAUUGCUCCUUCCUUCCAGUUUUUAUAUAUUAUAGUUAUAGCAUGUUUUACAGGGUGGAUUUUGCUCGCCCAUUAGUUUAAUUUUUUAAAAAUAUUUGGGGUACUAACAAUCUUACUAAUACACUCACAAGUUGAAGUGGGUCACAUACAAAGUGAUGAUCUUAUCAAAACUUGUAAGUGUGCUAAUAAGAUUGUUAAAAAGUAUGUAAGUAUCUCUAGUAUUGUUGUUAAUUUUUUGGAUUUAGGGUUUUAUGAACUUUUAAAAGUGGUUAUGUACCAAAAUGUAGUGUUGUGUUUCCUUUUCGAACUCAAUUGGAUAAUGCUUUAUUGGAUAUUGUAAAUUUUUUAUUUUAUUUUUAGAUAUUGAAUAUAUA
Molecule: non-coding RNA, 699 nt
Organism: Camellia sinensis
Lineage: Eukaryota; Viridiplantae; Streptophyta; Magnoliopsida; Ericales; Theaceae
Source: RefSeq, a predicted model, not a curated record